UACGUAGGUGGCGAGCGUUGUCCGGAUUUAUUGGGCGUAAAGAGCUCGUAGGCGGCUCGUUGCGUCGGCUGUGAAAACCCGCAGCUCAACUGUGGGCUUGCAGCCGAUACGGGCGGGCUGGAGUUCGGUAGGGGAGACUGGAAUUCCUGGUGUAGCGGUGAAAUGCGCAGAUAUCAGGAGGAACACCGGUGGCGAAGGCGGGUCUCUGGGCCGAUACUGACGCUGAGGAGCGAAAGCGUGGGGAGCGAACAGG
This 253-nucleotide ribosomal RNA is filed under the name uncultured bacterium. RNAcentral's name for it is "partial 16S ribosomal RNA". It matches the Rfam family "Bacterial small subunit ribosomal RNA", at positions 524 to 776 of the family's 1533-position model. The record is from RNAcentral.